UACGGAGGUUGCAAGCGUUAUCCGGAUUCACUGGGUUUAAAGGGUGCGUAGGCGGGUUGGUAAGUCAGUGGUUAAAGCCUUCAGCUUAACUGAAGAAAUGCCAUUGAUACUGCCAGCCUAGAGUGAGGUUGAGGUGGCUGGAAUGUGUCAUGUAGCGGUGAAAUGCGUAGAUAUGACACAGAACACCGAUGGAGAAGGCAGGUCACCAAGCCAUCAAUGACUCUGAGGCACGAAAGUGUGGGGAGCAAACAGG
Molecule: ribosomal RNA, 253 nt
Filed under: uncultured bacterium
Lineage: Bacteria
Description: partial 16S ribosomal RNA
Rfam family: Bacterial small subunit ribosomal RNA
Source: RNAcentral